Molecule: ribosomal RNA, 916 nt
Filed under: uncultured bacterium
Lineage: Bacteria
Description: bacterial SSU rRNA
Rfam family: Bacterial small subunit ribosomal RNA
Source: RNAcentral
UUGUUGGUAAGGUAAAAGCUUACCAAGGUUUCGAUCAGUAGCUGGUCUGAGAGGACGACCAGCCACACUGGGACUGAGACACGGCCCAGACUCCUACGGGAGGCAGCAGUGGGGAAUUUUGGACAAUGGGGGCAACCCUGAUCCAGCCAUGCCGCGUGAGUGAAGAAGGCCUUCGGGUUGUAAAGCUCUUUCAGCCGGAACGAAACGGUUACGGAUAACACCCGUGACUACUGACGGUACCGGAAGAAGAAGCACCGGCUAACUACGUGCCAGCAGCCGCGGUAAUACGUAGGGUGCGAGCGUUAAUCGGAAUUACUGGGCGUAAAGCGUGCGCAGGUGGUUUUGUAAGUCAGAUGUGAAAGCCCCGGGCUCAACCUGGGAACUGCGUUUGAAACUACAAGACUAGAGUGUGGCAGAGGGGGGUGGAAUUCCGCGUGUAGCAGUGAAAUGCGUAGAGAUGUGGAGGAACACCGAUGGCGAAGGCAGCCCCCUGGGUCAACACUGACGCUCAGGCACGAAAGCAUGGGGAGCAAACAGGAUUAGAUACCCUGGUAGUCCAUGCCCUAAACGAUGUCAACUAGUUGUCGGGCCUUUACGGGCUUGGUAACGUAGCUAACGCGUGAAGUUGACCGCCUGGGGAGUACGAUCGCAAGAUUAAAACUCAAAUGAAUUGACGGGGACCCGCACAAGCGGUGGAUUAUGUGGAUUAAUUCGAUGCAACGCGAAAAACCUUACCUACCCUUGACAUGUAUCGAAGCCCGCAGAAAAGCGGGGGUGCCCGAAAGGGAACGAUAACACAGGUGCUGCAUGGCUGUCGUCAGCUCGUGUCGUGAGAUGUUGGGUUAAGUCCCGCAACGAGCGCAACCCUUGUCAUUAAUUGCCAUCAUUUAGUUGGGCACUUUAAUGAGACUGCCGG